This 497-nucleotide ribosomal RNA is filed under the name uncultured bacterium. Its description in RNAcentral is "partial 16S ribosomal RNA". It matches the Rfam family "Bacterial small subunit ribosomal RNA", at positions 28 to 507 of the family's 1533-position model. The record is from RNAcentral.
GACGAACGCUGGCGGCGUGCCUAAUACAUGCAAGUCGAACGCUGAAGAGAGGAGCUUGCUCUUCUUGGAUGAGUUGCGAACGGGUGAGUAACGCGUAGGUAACCUGCCUUGUAGCGGGGGAUAACUAUUGGAAACGAUAGCUAAUACCGCAUAACAAUGGAUGACACAUGUCAUUUAUUUGAAAGGGGCAAUUGUUCCACUACAAGAUGGACCUGCGUUGUAUUAGCUAGUAGGUGAGGUAAUGGCUCACCUAGGCGACGAUACAUAGCCGACCUGAGAGGGUGAUCGGCCACACUGGGACUGAGACACGGCCCAGACUCCUACGGGAGGCAGCAGUAGGGAAUCUUCGGCAAUGGGGGCAACCCUGACCGAGCAACGCCGCGUGAGUGAAGAAGGGUUUCGGAUCGUAAAGCUCUGUUGUAAGUCAAGAACGGGCGUGAGAGUGGAAAGUUCACACUGUGACGGUAGCUGACCAGAAAGGGACGGCUAACUACGUG